Pollicipes pollicipes is the source of this 661-nucleotide long non-coding RNA. RefSeq lists it as uncharacterized. The transcript has 3 exons. Lineage: Eukaryota; Metazoa; Arthropoda; Thecostraca; Pollicipedomorpha; Pollicipedidae. The record is from RefSeq and is a predicted model, not a curated record.
GGCGCGGGCCCGCUGCCGCCGCCGCCCAGCGGCAUGGUGUAUCUGGUGCUGCUCGUGCCGGUGGCGGUGGUGGCUACACUGGCACUGACCGCCAUUCUGUGCCUCUGCUAUGUCAGCCGUCUACCCCAGACGCCCUGCGGAGCUGAACGCGGCGCAAAGAGUACUCUGAUGAACUACGAUGAAGCUCGCUAUAACACCUCAGAAGCUGAACAUCGGAGCCAGCUUCUUCCAGGCUCAGAGCCAUCUCGCGGUCUCUCAGAAAGCUACAGCUCACAGCUCUGCCACGGGCGUCGCUACCAUCAGCUGCGCCUACACCCCUCGCCAACACCCGAUCGUCGUUGGUGUCCGAGAGAACGCACAUGCGUGGAGCGUCGCCUCGGGAGCAGUUCAACUCCCAUCGGAUGUACCUGCCGACCACUACCAGAAUCAAACUCCUCGCUGGCGUGCGCUGGGCGUCCGCCGCGCGCGAUACCAGCGCAGUAUGCAUGCUGAGCUGCGGAAAUAUCGCGCCUUGUGAGGGCGGGAGACAGAAGAAUAACGGCAUCAGGAUUAAAACUGGUCGCUUAGUUUGAAGUAUGGGCGUUCCCAGCUGUGAUAUGGGCCCACGCCACCCAGCAAUGGUGCGGUGGGGUGGACAAUAGUGACUGGAGAUUUCGCUGGA